GACGAACGCUGGCGGCGUGCUUAACACAUGCAAGUCGAACGGAAAGGCCCUGCUUUUGUGGCGUGCUCGAGUGGCGAACGGGGGAGUAACACGUGAGUAACCUGCCCUUUACUUUGGGAUAACUUCAGGAAACUGGGGCUCAUACCGGAUAUGAGCUCCUGCUGCAUGGUGGGGGUUGGAAAGUUUCGGCGGUUGGGGAUGGACUCGGGGCUUAUCAGCUUGUUGGUGGGGUAGUGGCUUACCAAGGCUUUGACGGGUAGCCGGCCGGGAAGGGUGACCGGCCCAAUGGGGACUGGGAGCCGGCCGAAACGCCUCCGGGGGGAAGGAGGGGGAAUAUUGCACAAUGGGCGGAAGCCUGAUGCAGCAACGCCGCGUGCGGGAUGACGGCCUUCGGGUUGUAAACCGCUUUCGCCUGUGACGAAGCGUGAGUGACGGUAAUGGGUAAAGAAGCACCGGCUAACUACGUG
This 467-nucleotide ribosomal RNA is filed under the name uncultured bacterium. Its description in RNAcentral is "partial 16S ribosomal RNA". It matches the Rfam family "Bacterial small subunit ribosomal RNA", at positions 28 to 507 of the family's 1533-position model. The record is from RNAcentral.